This 447-nucleotide ribosomal RNA is filed under the name uncultured bacterium. RNAcentral's name for it is "partial 16S ribosomal RNA". It matches the Rfam family "Bacterial small subunit ribosomal RNA", at positions 355 to 794 of the family's 1533-position model. The record is from RNAcentral.
UAGGGAAUCUUCCACAAUGGACGCAAGUCUGAUGGAGCAACGCCGCGUGAGUGAAGAAGGCUUUCGGGUCGUAAAACUCUGUUAUUGAAGAAGAACGUGCGUGACAGUAACUGGUCAUGCAGUGACGGUAUUCAAUCAGAAAGUCACGGCUAACUACGUGCCAGCAGCCGCGGUAAUACGUAGGUGGCAAGCGUUGUCCGGAUUUAUUGGGCGUAAAGCGAGUGCAGGCGGUCUUUUAAGUCUGAUGUGAAAGCCUUCGGCUUAACCGAAGAAGGGCAUCGGAAACUGGGAGACUUGAGUGCAGAAGAGGAGAGUGGAACUCCGUGUGUAGCGGUGAAAUGCGUAGAUAUAUGGAAGAACACCAGUGGCGAAGGCGGCUCUCUGGUCUGUAACUGACGCUGAGGCUCGAAAGCGUGGGUAGCAAACAGGAUUAGAUACCCUGGUAGU